RNAcentral lists this transfer RNA (72 nucleotides) under Phrynocephalus interscapularis sogdianus. RNAcentral's name for it is "tRNA-Asn". Lineage: Eukaryota; Metazoa; Chordata; Lepidosauria; Squamata; Agamidae. The record is from RNAcentral.
UAAGUUGAUGCCUGCUGGUUUGGGUAAAUAGCUGUUAACUAUUUCUUGCAGGAUCGAGGCCUGCCAAUUAUG